GAUUACCCUCAACUAAACUGAUAUUUCUUCUAUUAUAGUAUUGGAGUCUUAUCUUUCUUGGACAGAGUAGAUUACCCCUCUUCUUGAAGGUUUUAAGGCAUUUUAGAGGUUGCAGAGUACCCUCCUCUAAACCAGUAUUGCUUUCUUGUAGAGUCAUUUCUUUUCUUUUCUUAGAAUAGCUAGAGCUCAAGAUAUUAGUAUGAUUGAAAGUUCAGAGUCCAAUUUGGUUGCCAUUAUGAAUGCUCUUAUUACGUUAUCACUGAGAACUGUAGAGAUUGAAUGAAUCAUUGUAAGACUUUAUGAUGAUGGAACACUUGGGAUGGUACAAUUGAGGAUUCAUCAGCUUUAAGCUUCAACACUAGGAGAAACAACUUUGCCUCUAGUUCAAUAAGGACCGUUGGUCUUACAAUGAAAGGAGCCUUGAAUUAGCCUUCUAGAUAAGUUCGAUGGUACGCGUUCUAAGUUUUGAGAUUUUGUCAAUCAAAUUAGAUUGAUAAUAGCUUUACAGUCCAAUCGCUAUCUGA
Molecule: long non-coding RNA, 524 nt
Filed under: Physcomitrium patens
Lineage: Eukaryota; Viridiplantae; Streptophyta; Bryopsida; Funariales; Funariaceae
Description: long non-coding RNA (PPAT_LNC008880)
Source: RNAcentral